AUUGCUUCUCUGACUUGUGGCUUAGAUCAAGUGUAGUAUCUGUUCUUUCAGUUUAAUAGUAGGGGACUACAACACCUCCCUGACAUCAAUGGAUAGAUCAUCCAGAGAAAAUGUUUAAGGAAAUAGUGGCUUUGAGUGAUACAUU
This 145-nucleotide small nuclear RNA is filed under the name Suricata suricatta (meerkat). RNAcentral's name for it is "U2 spliceosomal RNA (ENSSSUG00005011935.1)". It matches the Rfam family "U2 spliceosomal RNA". From Rfam's summary of the family: U2 is a small nuclear RNA (snRNA) component of the spliceosome (involved in pre-mRNA splicing). Complementary binding between U2 snRNA (in an area lying towards the 5' end but 3' to hairpin I) and the branchpoint sequence (BPS) of the intron results the bulging out of an unpaired adenosine, on the BPS, which initiates a nucleophilic attack at the intronic 5' splice site, thus starting the first of two transesterification reactions that mediate splicing. Lineage: Eukaryota; Metazoa; Chordata; Mammalia; Carnivora; Herpestidae. The record is from Rfam by way of RNAcentral.